AGCUUCAGGUUCGUUGGUGACAGAAAAAUGGGGACAGAGAAGAUAGGGAAGCAAGAGGCCCUAAACCAGGUGCCCAUCGACUGAGAAGCACACUUACCAUCACACUGGGUGCAUAGGUGAAUCCUCUGAUGCUGGUUGGUGAAGAUCUUGAGGGAGGUUUUUCCACAUUCUUUGGAUUCAUGGUUUCUCUCUAACGUCCACGCCGAUGUUGGGUCUCAUCUUGAGCGAAGGUUUCCGCACAUCACAUUCUAUGUAAUUAAAUUCCUGGACACUGAGUCAGAUGUGCCGUCCAAGCCUCCAGACUCACCCGAGGGCUCUCGCACGGACACAUCAGAUACAGGUUUCUUUCCAGUAAGAAUUCUCUGAUGUUGUAUAAGACGGUUGGUGACACUACCCAAAUGAAGGCUUAUUCACAUUUAUUACACUUAAGAAUUUUU
Molecule: long non-coding RNA, 437 nt
Organism: Lagenorhynchus albirostris (white-beaked dolphin)
Lineage: Eukaryota; Metazoa; Chordata; Mammalia; Artiodactyla; Delphinidae
Exons: 2
Source: RefSeq, a predicted model, not a curated record